GUUGUAGCUCAAUGGUAGAGUACUUGCCUAGCACAUGUGAGGCACUGGGUUCAAUCCCUAGCAUUACA
This 68-nucleotide transfer RNA is filed under the name Marmota monax (woodchuck). RNAcentral describes it as "tRNA.Ala". Lineage: Eukaryota; Metazoa; Chordata; Mammalia; Rodentia; Sciuridae. The record is from RNAcentral.